UACGUAGGGACCGAGCGUUGUCCGGAAUCAUUGGGCGUAAAGAGCGUGUAGGCGGCCACUUAAGUCCUGCGUGAAAUCCUGCGGCUCAACCGCAGGCGGUCGUGGGAAACUGGGUGGCUAGAGUGCGGGAGAGGAGAGUGGAAUUCCUGGUGUAGCGGUGGAAUGCACAGAUAUCAGGAAGAACACCCGUGGCGAAGGCGGCUCUCUGGAACGCAACUGACGCUGAGACGCGAAAGCGUGGGGAGCAAAAAGG
RNAcentral lists this ribosomal RNA (253 nucleotides) under uncultured bacterium. RNAcentral's name for it is "partial 16S ribosomal RNA". It matches the Rfam family "Bacterial small subunit ribosomal RNA", at positions 524 to 776 of the family's 1533-position model. The record is from RNAcentral.